UACGAAGGGGGCUAGCGUUGCUCGGAAUCACUGGGCGUAAAGGGUGCGUAGGCGGGGCUUUAAGUCAGGGGUGAAAUCCUGGAGCUCAACUCCAGAACUGCCUUUGAUACUGAGGAUCUUGAGUUCGGGAGAGGUGAGUGGAACUGCGAGUGUAGAGGUGGAAUUCGUAGAUAUUCGCAAGAACACCAGUGGCGAAGGCGGCUCACUGGCCCGAUACUGACGCUGAGGCACGAAAGCGUGGGGAGCAAACAGG
This 253-nucleotide ribosomal RNA is filed under the name uncultured bacterium. RNAcentral describes it as "partial 16S ribosomal RNA". It matches the Rfam family "Bacterial small subunit ribosomal RNA", at positions 524 to 776 of the family's 1533-position model. The record is from RNAcentral.